Molecule: transfer RNA, 74 nt
Filed under: Caudoviricetes sp.
Lineage: Duplodnaviria; Heunggongvirae; Uroviricota; Caudoviricetes
Description: tRNA-Met
Rfam family: tRNA
About the family: Transfer RNA (tRNA) molecules are approximately 80 nucleotides in length.
Source: RNAcentral
GGGAGGUUAGCUCAACUGGUUAGAGCAGCGGACUCAUAAUCCGUUGGUUAUGGGUUCAAGUCCCAUGCUUCCCA